This 463-nucleotide ribosomal RNA is filed under the name uncultured bacterium. Its description in RNAcentral is "partial 16S ribosomal RNA". It matches the Rfam family "Bacterial small subunit ribosomal RNA", at positions 28 to 507 of the family's 1533-position model. The record is from RNAcentral.
GACGAACGCUGGCGGCGUGCUUAACACAUGCAAGUCGAACGGAAAGGCCCUGCUUUUGUGGGGUGCUCGAGUGGCGAACGGGUGAGUAACACGUGAGUAACCUGCCCUUGACUUUGGGAUAACUUCAGGAAACUGGGGCUAAUACCGGAUAGGAGCUCCUGCUGCAUGGUGGGGGUUGGAAAGUUUCGGCGGUUGGGGAUGGACUCGCGUCUUAUCAGCUUGUUGGUGGGGUAGUGGCUUACCAAGGCUUUGACGAGUAGCCGGCCUGAGAGGGUGACCGGCCAGACUGGGACUGAGACACGGCCCAGACUCCUAGGGGAGGGAGCAGUGGGGAAUAUUGGACAAUGGGGUCAAACCUGAUCCAGCCGUGCCGGGUGAGGGAUGAAGGCCUGAGGGUUGUAAAGCUCUUUGGUCCGAGAAGAGAAUGACGGUACCGGAAGAAUAAGCCCCGGCUAACUUCGUG